RNAcentral lists this long non-coding RNA (213 nucleotides) under Panax ginseng (ginseng). RNAcentral's name for it is "long non-coding RNA (PGIN_LNC016639)". Lineage: Eukaryota; Viridiplantae; Streptophyta; Magnoliopsida; Apiales; Araliaceae. The record is from RNAcentral.
GAGACUCUUAGAUAAUGACAUAUGGGCCCCCCAUAAAAUAACCAAACUUACCACAAAUGUCUCAUAAUAGACUCUUUAUAUACAUCAAGGAUUGAAUAAAUAUUACCACAAAUCAUUUUAUUUUUAAUCAACACAUAUUUAAUCUUUCAACAAUUAUUAAUCAUUUAUAACUUGUCGUCUCAAUUAUUGAUUUAAUAAUAUAACAUAUUAUAC